GACGAACGCUAGCUACAGGCUUAACACAUGCAAGUCGAGGGGUAACAAGAGAAAAGCUUGCUUUUCUUGUUGACGACCGGCGCACGGGUGAGUAACGCGUAUCCAACCUGCCUAUAACUAGGGAAUAACCUUGCGAAAGUAAGACUAAUACCCUAUGAUUUCCUUUGAUGGCAUCAGAUUAGGAAUAAAGAUUUAUCGGUUAUAGAUGGGGAUGCGUCUGAUUAGCUUGUUGGCGGGGUAACGGCCCACCAAGGCAACGAUCAGUAGGGGUUCUGAGAGGAAGGUCCCCCACAUUGGAACUGAGACACGGUCCAAACUCCUACGGGAGGCAGCAGUGAGGAAUAUUGGUCAAUGGGCGGAAGCCUGAAUCAGCCAAGUAGCGUGCAGGAUGACGGCCCUAUGGGUUGUGAACUGCUUUUAUACAGGAAUAAAGUUAGCCACGUGUGGUUAUUUGUAGGUACUGUAUGAAUAAGGACCGGCUAAUUCCGUGCCAGCCGCCGCCGUAA
This 506-nucleotide ribosomal RNA is filed under the name uncultured bacterium. RNAcentral's name for it is "partial 16S ribosomal RNA". It matches the Rfam family "Bacterial small subunit ribosomal RNA", at positions 28 to 523 of the family's 1533-position model. The record is from RNAcentral.